UACUGAGGGGUGGCUGCUAUGU
This 22-nucleotide microRNA is filed under the name Mus musculus (house mouse). Its description in RNAcentral is "mmu-miR-6985-5p". The record is from miRBase by way of RNAcentral. Lineage: Eukaryota; Metazoa; Chordata; Mammalia; Rodentia; Muridae.